Molecule: transfer RNA, 63 nt
Filed under: Planorbarius corneus
Lineage: Eukaryota; Metazoa; Mollusca; Gastropoda; Planorbidae
Description: tRNA-Arg
Source: RNAcentral
UUACUAAAAGCGAAUUUUCGCACUAAGUUUCGACCUUAGCUUUGGAAAAAAAUCCUUAGUAAU